GAUGAACGCUGGCGGCGUGCCUAAUACAUGCAAGUCGAGCGAACGGACGAGAAGCUUGCUUCUCUGAUGUUAGCGGCGGACGGGUGAGUAACACGUGGAUAACCUACCUAUAAGACUGGGAUAACUUCGGGAAACCGGAGCUAAUACCGGAUAAUAUUUUGAACCGCAUGGUUCAAAAGUGAAAGACGGUCUUGCUGUCACUUAUACAUGGUUCCGCGCUGCAUUAGCUAGUUGGUAAGGUAACGGCUUACCAAGGCGACGAUGCAUAGCCGACCUGAGAGGGUGAUCGGCCACACUGGAACUGAGACACGGUCCAGACUCCUACGGGAGGCAGCAGUAGGGAAUCUUCCGCAAUGGGCGAAAGCCUGACGGAGCAACGCCGCGUGAGUGAUGAAGGUCUUCGGAUCGUAAAACUCUGUUAGUAGGGAAGAACAUAUGUGUAAGUAACUGUGCACAUCUUGACGGUACCUAAUCAGAAAGCCACGGCUAACUACGUG
This 497-nucleotide ribosomal RNA is filed under the name uncultured bacterium. RNAcentral describes it as "partial 16S ribosomal RNA". It matches the Rfam family "Bacterial small subunit ribosomal RNA", at positions 28 to 507 of the family's 1533-position model. The record is from RNAcentral.